RNAcentral lists this long non-coding RNA (841 nucleotides) under Triticum aestivum (bread wheat). RNAcentral describes it as "long non-coding RNA (TAES_LNC017110)". Lineage: Eukaryota; Viridiplantae; Streptophyta; Magnoliopsida; Poales; Poaceae. The record is from RNAcentral.
UCUGCAAGCUUCCCCCUAAUCACUACAACCUGCAGAUAGCCAGCAAGGUAAAUACACCAUUUUAAAAUAACAGGACGCAUGUUUUUCUUCUUCAAUUUGUUCAUUUAUUACGAAUAAUUUGUUCCAGGAGAUCCAUUUGGCAAACACAAGUUAAGCAUGAUGUGGCAGAGAACAUCAACUACACAUAAAAUCAAGUGUACCUGAUUAGCCAGGCUGUGCGGUGGCCCAGACAAACCGUUCAGUGUCCUUAGCAACACAAUAAAGAGCAGAUGUGAAAUGUCCAGAUCCACAAGUCUGUACCUUAAAUACUUAGAAAAGCAUUAGAAUAUGAUAUUCACAUAACAGACAUAUCACAAAAAGUUCAGAAAAAAGAAUAGUCAGUUGUCUGCACUAAACAAGUACUGGUCUGUUACCUAUGUGAAGUAUUGGUCUAUAACCUAUGAUCAAGUACUGGUCUGUUACCUAUGAUCAAGUACUGGUCUGUUAGCAUAAAUGAUUAUUCGUCAAGACAAUCACUCCUGCCAUAUAAACAUGUAUCUCAAGGAAAAUUUGUAAGAGAUGUGGUUAAUUACUUGAAUAAAACACACCAUAUCAAGUAUACUAACACAGAAGUGAUAUCAAUAUUUCCACCUUCAACAUCAGAUAGUAUAAAACACACCAUAACUAGUAAAAACACACCAUGGCCUACACGGUUUGCACCCUAACGCAUCCCCAUCUAUGGAAAGACAGACAUUGGGAACAUAAGCAAAGCAUGGCAAGAAGAACCCAAUUGGAAAGAACACUAAAUAAACAACCAUCAGAACAACCAUAAUGUAUCACCCCAUCUCUGCUUAUAAGAUGG